AGAAGAAUAACGUGAACCAAUGGUUUGUUUGAUUGCCGAGAAAAUGCAGGAACGUCUUAAGAAAUGCAGAAAUUUAUUCCUCAGAUUUUUCAUUUCAUCUAGCAACCAAACACUCCUCCUAUCGCCUACUUAACUAAAAAAAACAGAGCAUUCAAAGUGUUUGCUUUCAUUUCGUUUGCCAACUUUUUCACCAACCAAACAAAUAGUAACAGGCUCCCCAGAGUUGAGAUUGUAGAAACCUUUCUCCUCUUUUCCCUCGAUUUUCU
Molecule: unclassified non-coding RNA, 266 nt
Filed under: Hevea brasiliensis (rubber tree)
Lineage: Eukaryota; Viridiplantae; Streptophyta; Magnoliopsida; Malpighiales; Euphorbiaceae
Source: RNAcentral